This 706-nucleotide small RNA is filed under the name Pongo abelii (Sumatran orangutan). Its description in RNAcentral is "sense overlapping". Lineage: Eukaryota; Metazoa; Chordata; Mammalia; Primates; Hominidae. The record is from RNAcentral.
UUAGGUACUGGCUAACCGGGGUGGUGGAGAUGCCUGUCCACACCAGUCCUGUCCCCAGGACUCCCCUUCUGUGGUCUGGAGGUUCUGGGCUGGCCUGGGCUCCUAAAGGGAGGAUUUUGCAGGCUGUCCUCCCUAAUAAAAGAUUUUCCCAAGGUUGAUCUGGAGGUGACAUUUCCCAAGGCAUGGUCGUGGCAGCCUUACUGAAAGCAAGGGCCGUUUCUCCACAGAAUGAGGAGGUAUUCAUGGAUGGCUUUGCCGGUUCCAGCCCUUGGUCCUCGGAUAGAUUUCUGUUGAGCAAGGGAGACUUCGAGAAUGCUGGCAUCCAUAGGGACAUCUGCCCUGAGCUGCUCUCAGCAGGCAGGCAGCAGCCUCCCGCAUCCACGGGAAAGGGUUUUGUUUUCUUGGCCGGGCUGGGCAGGCUGCUGUUCUCCCAAGCUCGGGGCCAUGCCGUGCCACCGUCACCAGAGCCAGCUGCAGCACUGGGGCAGCCACUGUCGCCGGACUUGGGGAAGCCCAGGGUGAAGACAGUCGCUCAUCUGCGCAAGCUCUCCAGAAGGGGUGCAAGCUCUCCAGAAGGUAUGUGAUCUCUGAGCAGUGGGGAGUGGAGUCACCACUCGGGACAUAGAGGGUGUACAGUUGAGGCCUGUAUCUGCCUCCUUGGCACUGUGGGGUGGGUGCCCUCAGUAAAGCGCUUUGUUGGAAUGGU